UACGUAGGGGGCAAGCGUUGUCCGGAAUCAUUGGGCGUAAAGCGCGCGUAGGCGGCCUUGUAAGUCCGUUGUGAAAGUCAAAGGCUCAACCUUUGAAAGCCGAUGGAUACUGCAAGGCUAGAGUCCGGAAGAGGCGAGUGGAAUUCCUGGUGUAGCGGUGGAAUGCGCAGAUAUCAGGAGGAACACAAAUGGCGAAGGCAGCUCGCUGGAACGGUACUGACGCUGAGGCGCGAAAGCGUGGGGAGCGAACAGG
RNAcentral lists this ribosomal RNA (253 nucleotides) under uncultured bacterium. Its description in RNAcentral is "partial 16S ribosomal RNA". It matches the Rfam family "Bacterial small subunit ribosomal RNA", at positions 524 to 776 of the family's 1533-position model. The record is from RNAcentral.